GUGAAUCAUCGAAUCUUUGAACGCACCUUGCGCCCUUUGGUAUUCCGAAGGGCAUGCCCGUUCGAGUGUCUUGAAAUCAUCACCCCCUCAGCUUUGUUGUUGGGAUGGGUGGACUUGGAGGCUUGCUGCCGUACAGGCGGCUCCUCUUGAAUGCAUCGGUUGCGCUUGAAGCGUUCCUCGACGUUGUAAUCUUCCUCGUCUUGGUCUGUUUUGAAACAACCUCGGCUUAGCCUCUGGAGUGGCUGCCAAUCUUCUUUGACAUCUGACCUCGAAUCGGGUAGGACUACCCGCUGAACUUAAGCAUAUCAAUAAGCGGAGGA
RNAcentral lists this unclassified non-coding RNA (320 nucleotides) under Basidiomycota sp. RNAcentral describes it as "partial contains 5.8S ribosomal RNA, internal transcribed spacer 2, and large subunit ribosomal RNA". The stretch from base 1 to 71 matches the Rfam family "5.8S ribosomal RNA", at positions 84 to 154 of the family's 154-position model. The record is from RNAcentral. Lineage: Eukaryota; Fungi; Basidiomycota.